ACGCUGGCGGCAGGCCUAACACAUGCAAGUCGAGCGGUAGAGAGAAGCUUGCUUCUCUUGAGAGCGGCGGUCGGGUGAGUAAUGCAUAGGAAUCUGCCUGGUAGUGGGGGAUAACGUUCGGAAACGGACGCUAAUACCGCAUACGUCCUACGGGAGAAAGCAGGGGACUUUCGGGCCUUGCGCUAUCAGAUGAGCCUAGGUCGGAUUAGCUAGUUGGUGGGGUAAUGGCUCACCAAGGCGACGAUCCGUAACUGGUCUGAGAGGAUGAUCAGUCACACUGGAACUGAGACACGGUCCAGACUCCUACGGGAGGCAGCAGUGGGGAAUAUUGGACAAUGGGCGAAAGCCUGAUCCAGCCAUGCCGCGUGUGUGAAGAAGGUCUUCGGAUUGUAAAGCACUUUAAGUUGGGAGGAAGGGCAGUUGCCUAAUACGUAACUGUUUUGACGUUACCGACAGAAUAAGCACCGGCUAACUCUGUGCCAGCAGCCGCGGUAAUACAGAGGGUGCAAGCGUUAAUCGGAAUUACUGGGCGUAAAGCGCGCGUAGGUGGUUUGUUAAGUUGGAUGUGAAAUCCCCGGGCUCAACCUGGGAACUGCAUUCAAAACUGACUGACUAGAGUAUGGUAGAGGGUGGUGGAAUUUCCUGUGUAGCGGUGAAAUGCGUAGAUAUAGGAAGGAACACCAGUGGCGAAGGCGACCACCUGGACUGAUACUGACACUGAGGUGCGAAAGCGUGGGGAGCAAAC
Molecule: ribosomal RNA, 745 nt
Filed under: uncultured bacterium
Lineage: Bacteria
Description: bacterial SSU rRNA
Rfam family: Bacterial small subunit ribosomal RNA
Source: RNAcentral